UACGAAGGGGGCUAGCGUUGCUCGGAAUCACUGGGCGUAAAGCGCACGUAGGCGGCUUCUUAAGUCAGGGGUGAAAUCCUGGAGCUCAACUCCAGAACUGCCUUUGAUACUGAGGAGCUUGAGUUCGAGAGAGGUGGGUGGAAUUCCUAGUGUAGAGGUGAAAUUCGUAGAUAUUAGGAAGAACACCGGUGGCGAAGGCGGCCCACUGGCUCGAUACUGACGCUGAGGUGCGAAAGCGUGGGGAGCAAACAGG
Molecule: ribosomal RNA, 253 nt
Filed under: uncultured bacterium
Lineage: Bacteria
Description: partial 16S ribosomal RNA
Rfam family: Bacterial small subunit ribosomal RNA
Source: RNAcentral